RNAcentral lists this ribosomal RNA (253 nucleotides) under uncultured bacterium. RNAcentral's name for it is "partial 16S ribosomal RNA". It matches the Rfam family "Bacterial small subunit ribosomal RNA", at positions 524 to 776 of the family's 1533-position model. The record is from RNAcentral.
UACGUAGGGACCAAGCGUUGUUCGGAUUUACUGGGCGUAAAGGGCGCGUAGGCGGCGUGACAAGUCACUUGUGAAAUCUCCGGGCUUAACCCGGAGCGGUCAAGUGAUACUGUCGUGCUAGAGUGCGGAAGGGGCUACUGGAAUUCUCGGUGUAGCGGUGAAAUGCGUAGAUAUCGAGAGGAACACCUGCGGCGAAGGCGGGUAGCUGGGCCGACACUGACGCUGAUGCGCGAAAGCCAGGGGAGCGAACGGG